RNAcentral lists this ribosomal RNA (375 nucleotides) under uncultured bacterium. RNAcentral's name for it is "bacterial SSU rRNA". It matches the Rfam family "Bacterial small subunit ribosomal RNA", at positions 524 to 898 of the family's 1533-position model. The record is from RNAcentral.
UACGGAGGAUGCGAGCGUUAUCCGGAUUUAUUGGGUUUAAAGGGUGCGCAGGCGGAACCAUAAGUCAGCGGUAAAAUGUCGGGGCUCAACCCCGGCCCGCCGUUGAAACUGUGAUUCUCGAGUGGGCGCGAGGCAUGCGGAAUGCGAGGUGUAGCGGUGAAAUGCAUAGAUAUCGCGCAGAACUCCGAUUGCGAAGGCAGCAUGCCAGCGCCUUACUGACGCUGAGGCACGAAAGUGUGGGUAUCGAACAGGAUUAGAUACCCUGGUAGUCCACACAGUAAACGAUGAAUACUGGCCGUUCGGGGAGAGUGAUCCCUGAGUGGCUGAGCGAAAGCGUUAAGUAUUCCACCUGGGGAGUACGCCGGCAACGGUGAA